RNAcentral lists this ribosomal RNA (519 nucleotides) under Ceratitis penicillata. RNAcentral's name for it is "partial 16S ribosomal RNA". The stretch from base 391 to 519 matches the Rfam family "Bacterial large subunit ribosomal RNA", at positions 2473 to 2601 of the family's 2925-position model. The record is from RNAcentral. Lineage: Eukaryota; Metazoa; Arthropoda; Insecta; Diptera; Tephritidae.
GUCUUUUUGAGUUAUUUUUAAAGUUUGACCUGCCCACUGAAUAUUUUUAAAUGGCCGCAGUAUUUUAACUGUGCAAAGGUAGCAUAAUCAUUAGUCUUUUAAUUGAAGGCUGGUAUGAACGGUUGGACGAAGUAUAAGCUGUUUCAUAUAAAAUUAUAUUAGAAUUUUAUAUUUUAGUUAAAAAGCUAAAAUGUCAUUAAAAGACGAGAAGACCCUAUAAAUCUUUAUAUUUAAUAUUAUUUAAAUUUUUUUGAUUUAUUUUAUUUUUAUAAUAUUAAAUAUUUUGUUGGGGUGAUAUUAAAAUUUAACAAACUUUUAAUUUUGAAUUAAAACAUUAAUUUAUGAAUAAUUGAUCCAUUAUUAGUGAUUAUAAGAUUAAGUUACUUUAGGGAUAACAGCGUAAUUUUUUUUGAGAGUUCAUAUCGACAAAAAAGUUUGCGACCUCGAUGUUGGAUUAAGAUAUAUAUUUAGGUGUAGCUGUUUAAAUAUUAAGUCUGUUCGACUUUUAAAUUCUUACAU